GACGAACGCUGGCGGCGUGCCUAAUACAUGCAAGUCGAACGCAUUUUCUUUCACCGUAGCUUGCUACACCGAAAGAAAAUGAGUGGCGAACGGGUGAGUAACACGUGGGUAACCUGCCCAUCAGCGGGGGAUAACACUUGGAAACAGGUGCUAAUACCGUAUAAUUCCAUUUACUGCAUGGUAGAUGGAUGAAAGGCGCUUUUGCGUCACUGAUGGAUGGACCCGCGGUGCAUUAGCUAGUUGGUGGGGUAACGGCCUACCAAGGCUGCGAUGCAUAGCCGACCUGAGAGGGUGAUCGGCCACACUGGGACUGAGACACGGCCCAGACUCCUACGGGAGGCAGCAGUAGGGAAUCUUCGGCAAUGGACGCAAGUCUGACCGAGCAACGCCGCGUGAGUGAAGAAGGUUUUCGGAUCGUAAAACUCUGUUGUUAGAAAAGAACAAGGAUGAGAGUGGAAAGUUCAUCCCUUGACGGUAUCUAACCAGAAAGCCACGGCUAACUACGUG
This 507-nucleotide ribosomal RNA is filed under the name uncultured bacterium. RNAcentral describes it as "partial 16S ribosomal RNA". It matches the Rfam family "Bacterial small subunit ribosomal RNA", at positions 28 to 507 of the family's 1533-position model. The record is from RNAcentral.